This 253-nucleotide ribosomal RNA is filed under the name uncultured bacterium. RNAcentral's name for it is "partial 16S ribosomal RNA". It matches the Rfam family "Bacterial small subunit ribosomal RNA", at positions 524 to 776 of the family's 1533-position model. The record is from RNAcentral.
UACGGGGGGGGCAAGCGUUGUUCGGAAUUACUGGGCGUAAAGGGCUCGUAGGUGGCCAACUAAGUCACACGUGAAAUCCCUCGGCUUAACCGGGGAACUGCGUGUGAUACUGGAUGGCUUGAGUUUGGGAGAGGGAUGCGGAAUUCCAGGUGUAGCGGUGAAAUGCGUAGAUAUGACCCGGAACACCUAUUGCGAAGGCAGCAGGCUAAACAAAUAUUGACGCUGAGGCUCGAAAGCGUGGGGAUCAAACAGG